AGAGGCAGCCAACCAUACUAUUUAUCAGUAAUACUAAUUGUUGUAAACAUCAAGAAUUGUUAUCCCGGUAAUCUUCUGUCGUAAGCUUAUUAGCUGGACAAUUAUAAUGAGCAAUUGUCGGGUACCAAGGACCAAGGACGUGAAUAUUUGGAAAUAGACAUAUUGGUGAAAGAAGAGUGGCACUGAAUAUGCAAGAGGCUGUGGCCAUUGACUCUAAGGGACAAGUGCAUAAGUCCAAUCGCUCAAGUUUUUGAGAAAAGAUCAGCUAGAUGAAGAGGAGGUUGCUCUAUGUACAAAAUCCUCUAGAGCAUCUGCCCAUCUCCUCUGAUCCUCUCUCAGGUGGUGACUCGGGCAGUAUGGCCGCGCGCCUACCAGUCUCCAAAUAUGCUCAAAUCAAUUGACCAUCGCCAACAACAUUACCUAUAUGUACAAAUUGGAUUGGAAGUAUGUCAGGACAAAGAAAUUGUUUUGUGGAAAAAGGAAUCGUACAUGAAAAUGAAAUAAAUAUAGGGGGACCUGGUGUAUUGUUGUUCCCAUACAAAUGUCCUCUUGUACAGUGCCCUCCAUCACCUCCAGCCUGAAUUAUGCAGUUGCUGGAGCACCAUCGAGAAGAACAGGUUGCCCUACAAGAGUACCCUGUACAAGAAGAAGAGAGGAGGAUUAAAUUAGAAUAGGCGUUGAUCCACCGUCGCCGGCUAGGAGCAGGAUGAGACGUCAUCCGCUCUACCGCCACCGUUGCCGCCAGAGCUAUGGAUGUAGAUAUGUGUUCCAAAGGCCAGCGGCCCAUGCCGCAC
RNAcentral lists this long non-coding RNA (794 nucleotides) under Triticum aestivum (bread wheat). RNAcentral describes it as "long non-coding RNA (TAES_LNC007830)". The record is from RNAcentral. Lineage: Eukaryota; Viridiplantae; Streptophyta; Magnoliopsida; Poales; Poaceae.